RNAcentral lists this transfer RNA (71 nucleotides) under Liolaemus monticola. RNAcentral describes it as "tRNA-Ile". Lineage: Eukaryota; Metazoa; Chordata; Lepidosauria; Squamata. The record is from RNAcentral.
GGAAAUGUGCCCGAGAUACUAAGGGAUACUUUGAUAGAGUACACCACAGAGGCUCACCCCUCUCAUUUCCU